This 315-nucleotide ribosomal RNA is filed under the name Triticum aestivum (bread wheat). RNAcentral's name for it is "partial small subunit ribosomal RNA". The record is from RNAcentral. Lineage: Eukaryota; Viridiplantae; Streptophyta; Magnoliopsida; Poales; Poaceae.
AUGCUCGAGGAUGCAGCCGGCGUUGGGGAGGAGUCACGCGGCGCUGCUGCCGGGUGUGGGAGGGAGGACGAAAAGGGUGUGGAGGGCGAGGUCGCUGCCGGAGCUCUGCGGAAGCGAGGUCCGGGGAUCGGGUUGCUGGAGGAAGGGAGGAGGCGCUGGCAAAGUGCUGCAGGUACACCACUAAAGAUGGAUUGGUGGCAGGUGGCUGCGGUGGCCUCAUACCCGGCAGGCAUCCUGGUUGAGGAGUGCGCCGGACUGGUGGGUGCCCCAUACCCGGCAGGCGUCCUGGUUGGGACCUCAGGUCUUAGAUGUUAG